Molecule: ribosomal RNA, 858 nt
Filed under: Pseudomonas sp.
Lineage: Bacteria; Pseudomonadati; Pseudomonadota; Gammaproteobacteria; Pseudomonadales; Pseudomonadaceae
Description: bacterial SSU rRNA
Rfam family: Bacterial small subunit ribosomal RNA
Source: RNAcentral
GAUUCAGCGGCGGACGGGUGAGUAAUGCCUAGGAAUCUGCCUGGUAGUGGGGGAUAACGUCCGGAAACGGGCGCUAAUACCGCAUACGUCCUGAGGGAGAAAGUGGGGGAUCUUCGGACCUCACGCUAUCAGAUGAGCCUAGGUCGGAUUAGCUAGUUGGUGGGGUAAAGGCCUACCAAGGCGACGAUCCGUAACUGGUCUGAGAGGAUGAUCAGUCACACUGGAACUGAGACACGGUCCAGACUCCUACGGGAGGCAGCAGUGGGGAAUAUUGGACAAUGGGCGAAAGCCUGAUCCAGCCAUGCCGCGUGUGUGAAGAAGGUCUUCGGAUUGUAAAGCACUUUAAGUUGGGAGGAAGGGCAGUAAGUUAAUACCUUGCUGUUUUGACGUUACCAACAGAAUAAGCACCGGCUAACUUCGUGCCAGCAGCCGCGGUAAUACGAAGGGUGCAAGCGUUAAUCGGAAUUACUGGGCGUAAAGCGCGCGUAGGUGGUUCAGCAAGUUGGAUGUGAAAUCCCCGGGCUCAACCUGGGAACUGCAUCCAAAACUACUGAGCUAGAGUACGGUAGAGGGUGGUGGAAUUUCCUGUGUAGCGGUGAAAUGCGUAGAUAUAGGAAGGAACACCAGUGGCGAAGGCGACCACCUGGACUGAUACUGACACUGAGGUGCGAAAGCGUGGGGGAGCAAACAGGAUUAGAUACCCUGGUAGUCCACGCCGUAAACGAUGUCGACUAGCCGUUGGGAUCCUUGAGAUCUUAGUGGCGCAGCUAACGCGAUAAGUCGACCGCCUGGGGAGUACGGCCGCAAGGUUAAAACUCAAAUGAAUUGACGGGGGCCCGCACAAGCGGUGGAGCAUGU